ACGCUCGACACCUACGGGAGGCAGCAGUGGGGAAUAUUGCACAAUGGGGGAAACCCUGAUGCAGCGACGCCGCGUGAGCGAAGAAGUAUUUCGGUAUGUAAAGCUCUAUCAGCAGGGAAGAAAGUGACGGUACCUGACUAAGAAGCACCGGCUAAAUACGCGCCAGCAGCCGCGGUAAUCUGAGCGGGCUGGCAAGGC
This 198-nucleotide ribosomal RNA is filed under the name uncultured bacterium. RNAcentral's name for it is "partial 16S ribosomal RNA". It matches the Rfam family "Bacterial small subunit ribosomal RNA", at positions 328 to 539 of the family's 1533-position model. The record is from RNAcentral.